UUGGAGGGCAAGUCUGGUGCCAGCAGCCGCGGUAAUUCCAGCUCCAAUAGCGUAUAUUAAAGUUGUUGCAGUUAAAAAGCUCGUAGUUGAAUUUCGAGAUCAGUACGCUGGUCGUGCCUUCGGUAUGCACUGGUGUCUCUGGUUUCUCCCUUCUGAAGAACCGUCAUGUCAUUAAGUUGAUGUGGCGGGGAAUCAGGACUGUUACUUUGAAAAAAUUAGAGUGUUUAAAGCAGGCUCGCGCUUGAAUACAUUAGCAUGGAAUAAUGAAAUAGGACGUUUGACCCUAUUUUGUUGGUUUCUAGGAUCGACGUAAUGAUUAAUAGGGAUAGUUGGGGGCAUUAGUAUUCAAUUGUCAGAGGUGAAAUUCUUGGAUUUAUUGAAGACUAACUACUGCGAAAGCAUUUGCCAAGGAUGUUUUCAUUAAUCAAGAACGAAAGUUAGGGGAUCGAAGACGAUCAGAUACCGUCGUAGUCUUAACCAUAAACUAUGCCGACUAGGGAUCGGAUGAUGUUAAUUUUUUAAUGACUCAUUCGGCGCCUUACGGGAAAC
This 549-nucleotide ribosomal RNA is filed under the name uncultured Glomus. RNAcentral's name for it is "SSU rRNA". It matches the Rfam family "Eukaryotic small subunit ribosomal RNA", at positions 548 to 1098 of the family's 1831-position model. Lineage: Eukaryota; Fungi; Glomeromycota; Glomeromycetes; Glomerales; Glomeraceae. The record is from RNAcentral.